Molecule: ribosomal RNA, 763 nt
Filed under: uncultured bacterium
Lineage: Bacteria
Description: bacterial SSU rRNA
Rfam family: Bacterial small subunit ribosomal RNA
Source: RNAcentral
AGAGUUUGAUCCUGGCUCAGAGUGAACGCUGGCGGUAGGCCUAACACAUGCAAGUCGAACGGCAGCACAGGAGAGCUUGCUCUCUGGGUGGCGAGUGGCGGACGGGUGAGGAAUACAUCGGAAUCUACUCUGUCGUGGGGGAUAACGUAGGGAAACUUACGCUAAUACCGCAUACGACCUACGGGUGAAAGCAGGGGACCUUCGGGCCUUGCGCGAUUGAAUGAGCCGAUGUCGGAUUAGCUAGUUGGCGGGGUAAAGGCCCACCAAGGCGACGAUCCGUAGCUGGUCUGAGAGGAUGAUCAGCCACACUGGAACUGAGACACGGUCCAGACUCCUACGGGAGGCAGCAGUGGGGAAUAUUGGACAAUGGGCGCAAGCCUGAUCCAGCCAUACCGCGUGGGUGAAGAAGGCCUUCGGGUUGUAAAGCCCUUUUGUUGGGAAAGAAAUCCAGCUGGCUAAUACCCGGUUGGGGUGACGGUACCCAAAGAAUAAGCACCGGCUAACUUCGUGCCAGCAGCCGCGGUAAUACGAAGGGUGCAAGCGUUACUCGGAAUUACUGGGCGUAAAGCGUGCGUAGGUGGUCGUUUAAGUCCGUUGUGAAAGCCCUGGGCUCAACCUGGGAACUGCAGUGGAUACUGGGCGACUAGAAUGUGGUAGAGGGUAGCGGAAUUCCUGGUGUAGCAGUGAAAUGCGUAGAGAUCAGGAGGAACAUCCAUGGCGAAGGCAGCUACCUGGACCAACAUUGACACUGAGGCACGAAAGC